Molecule: small RNA, 1156 nt
Filed under: Histoplasma capsulatum
Lineage: Eukaryota; Fungi; Ascomycota; Eurotiomycetes; Onygenales; Ajellomycetaceae
Also listed under: 1 other name
Description: hypothetical RNA
Source: RNAcentral
CUGCAUCCCAAACCUCAAACCGACUAACAAUUAACUCAAAGAUUCUUGCUUCACCUAACCACUUUCGCCGUCGUCUCGUCUACCAGAAAUUCCAGGCCUGAAACAGUCAAGGCGGCAGACAUAAUAUCCUGUGAUGCCGGCUGUUUCCACUGCGUCACGCUCACUGAUGCUGCAUAUAGCAUACUCCGAUUCCUUGGAUCUAUGUGCUCCAUGUUGGCCAGCUUAUUGCAUCGGGUAAUGCGAGAGCAGCAAUAAUCCCCGCAUCCCAUCCCUCCAUAAAUCUCAGCCACAGCCCUCUAUGCUCUGUACGGAGUACCAAGAUCACCCACCUCCCUAGAUCAAAAUCGAACUGCUACCCGCAAGGCUAUCAAACGAGGGGGCUUUCGUCAAUGGUGGCGCGUUUUGGGGCGCUGCGCUGGCUGGUCAAAGGCCAAUUUGGCUCCAAAUUCAAUCCACCCAGGCUCAGGCUCCAAAAUUCUUUGCCAGGUUAACCGCCGUUAGCCUUUUUCAAAAAAAAAAAAGCAGUUGCAUGAUCCGUCCUGCCGGCCACUAAUAUCCCUUAUAAAAAUAGCUCUGUCAGAACACUUGCAUCUGGCUCGCACUAGUGAUAUGGACGUUGCCAACGCGUUCGUCCAGUCAAGCGAAACCAACUACCAACAUCAUCAGCGAACGGAUCUGCCACCAUGUUGUUGUUUGUAGAUAUGAAAAGGAUCAGAAAAUCUGAAACGUACCUACUGUCAUAAUGUGGAAGGUUCGCCUUCAUGUAACCGAAAAAUAAGGAAUCUGCCAACAAAAAAGAAAAGAAACAGGACAGGGGGAAACACAGAAAGGGACAAAGCUGGAUGGGCGAUUAAGUGAACCAAACCCCAUAUCCAUAGCCAGACUAAAGCCCCGUAGUUGCCGAGCAGUAUUUCUUUCCCCUUCUUUUAUUGUCAUUGCUAUUUAUUAUCUAUCGCUUUCUCCCUCUUUUGUUAACUUCUUUUUUCUUUGAAAGAAGACUCACUAAAGAGAGAAACCGGAAACCCUUGGGGCUAAACGAAGUCAACAUCAAUCCCAACUCCGGAGUUUCUGCCCGACAACGAGGAGUUACUUUUACCGGGCCCGAUACCCGCUGGCCGCUAUCGGGUUCCUUAUCUGUUACUGCCUUAUCACUCAC